AGCAGCCGCGGUAAUUCCAGCUCCAAUAGCGUAUAUUAAAGUUGUUGCAGUUAAAAAGCUCGUAGUUGAAUUUCGGGAUUGACACAUCGGUCGUGCCUUAAGGGGUAUGAACUGGUGUAGUCAAUUUCUCGCCUUCUGGAGAACCGCGAUGCCCUUAAUUGGGUGUCACGGGGAACCAGGACCUUUACUUUGAAAAAAUUAGAGUGUUUAAAGCAGGCAUUUUGCUUGAAUACAUUAGCAUGGAAUAAUAAAUAGGACGGCAUGAUUCUAUUUUGUUGGUUUCUAGGAUCACCGUAAUGAUUAAUAGGGAUAGUUGGGGGCAUUAGUAUUCAAUUGUCAGAGGUGAAAUUCUUGGAUUUAUUGAAGACUAACUACUGCGAAAGCAUUUGCCAAGGAUGUUUCAUUAAUCAAGAACGAAAGUUAGGGGAUCGAAGACGAUCAGAUACCGUCGUAGUCUUAACCAUAAACUAUGCCGACUAGGAAGUCAGACGAUGUUAAUUUUUAAUGACUCGUUUGGCAC
This 520-nucleotide ribosomal RNA is filed under the name uncultured Entrophospora. Its description in RNAcentral is "SSU rRNA". It matches the Rfam family "Eukaryotic small subunit ribosomal RNA", at positions 569 to 1086 of the family's 1831-position model. The record is from RNAcentral. Lineage: Eukaryota; Fungi; Glomeromycota; Glomeromycetes; Entrophosporales; Entrophosporaceae.